GACGAACGCUGGCGGCGUGCUUAACACAUGCAAGUCGAACGGAAAGGCCCUGCUUUUGUGGGGUGCUCGAGUGGCGAACGGGUGAGUAACACGUGAGUAACCUGCCCUUGACUUUGGGAUAACUUCAGGAAACUGGGGCUAAUACCGGAUAGGAGCUCCUGCUGCAUGGUGGGGGUUGGAAAGUUUCGGCGGUUGGGGAUGGACUCGCGGCUUAUCAGCUUGUUGGUGGGGUAGUGGAUUACCAAGGCUUUGACGGGUAGCCGGCCUGAGAGGGUGACCGGCCACAUUGGGACUGCGGUACGGCCCAGACUCCUACGGGAGGCAGCAGGGGGGAAUAUUGCACAAUGGGCGGAAGCCUGAUGCAGCAACGCCGCGUGCGGGAUGACGGCCUUCGGGUUGUAAACCGCUUUCGCCUGUGACGAAGCGUGAGUGACGGUAAUGGGUAAAGAAGCACCGGCUAACUACGUG
Molecule: ribosomal RNA, 468 nt
Filed under: uncultured bacterium
Lineage: Bacteria
Description: partial 16S ribosomal RNA
Rfam family: Bacterial small subunit ribosomal RNA
Source: RNAcentral